GACUCUCGUUAGGAAGAGCGUCGCCCUCCACGCCUUCUGAGCAGUUCCAGUUCCGUAGCGCCCUCGUGUGUCUGGAGGAAGAAACGUCCUGGGUUUGAGUUUGACAGGGCUACUGGAGCACAGGGAGAAGUCUGGUCAGGCAUUGGAAUGAAUAUGAGAACUCAAGAUGAGUUCUUGAUGCCUUCUCAGAGGAGACUCAGUGGCGGCGCGUGAAAGGAUCCAGAAGAAACCACAAGCAGUCGAAAUCCAAGGCACCUGUUUUCUCUAAAAGAAGUUGAAGUCACUUCCAUGUCUGCACGCCCACCAGCUAUGGUUGUGUAUACCAUGUGAAUUAACUAUUGGAGAAUUAUCAUCUAAUUUUUGACUUUGGAAACUAUUGAUAUGGUCUAAGGGUCUUGAAAUGAUACAGUUUAGAGGUCUUGGUCGGGUUUGUUGUCUCUGCCAGCUGAAGAAUUAAAAGGCAGGGAAAAAAUCUGAAUACCCACAUGGAGCAGCAGAGAAAUCUUAAGCAUCAUGGACAGAAUUAAGAGUAGGAAGAAGGUGAGGUGUGACAAGCAGCUGGAACAUCCUUCAUCCCUCAG
Molecule: long non-coding RNA, 581 nt
Filed under: Mus pahari (shrew mouse)
Lineage: Eukaryota; Metazoa; Chordata; Mammalia; Rodentia; Muridae
Description: lncRNA (MGP_PahariEiJ_G0003915.1)
Source: RNAcentral